RNAcentral lists this long non-coding RNA (229 nucleotides) under Capsicum annuum. Its description in RNAcentral is "long non-coding RNA (CANN_LNC004331)". The record is from RNAcentral. Lineage: Eukaryota; Viridiplantae; Streptophyta; Magnoliopsida; Solanales; Solanaceae.
UGAAAUAUACGUGUGACUUAGUAUACACUACACAUUAUAGUUGCUGAAUUCAAGUCUUAAAGUUGUUGGAACUAUUUUGUGGCCCCCAAAAUAGUUCUCCUCAUAUGUCCGAACCACUCAAACCUUAUUUCCCACAUUUUAUCUUUCACGAGGACCACUAUCUACUCCUACUUUGGCUGCAUCGGCGGAGCUACUCUUUAGUCAGGAGUUCAUCCGAACCCAACUCGGC